AGAGUUUGAUCCUGGCUCAGAUUGAACGCUGGCGGUAUGCCUAACACAUGCAAGUCGAACGAGGUAGCAAUACCUAGUGGCGGACGGGUGAGGAAUACGUAGGGAUCUGCCUUUAAGUGGGGGAUAACCCGGGGAAACCCGGAUUAAUACCGCAUGAUCUCGCAAGAGCAAAGUGGGGGAUCGCAAGACCUCACGCUUUUAGAGGAACCUACGUCGGAUUAGCUUGUUGGUGAGGUAAUGGCUCACCAAGGCGACGAUCCGUAACUGGUCUGAGAGGAUGAUCAGUCACACCGGAACUGAGACACGGUCCGGACUCCUACGGGAGGCAGCAGUGGGGAAUAUUGGACAAUGGGCGAAAGCCUGAUCCAGCAAUACCGUGUGUGUGAAGAAGGCCUUCGGGUUGUAAAGCACUUUAAGUUGGGAAGAAAAAACUUCAAUUAAUACUUGAAGUCUUGACGGUACCGACAGAAUAAGCACCGGCUAACUCUGUGCCAGCAGCCGCGGUAAUACAGAGGGUGCUAGCGUUAAUCGGAUUUACUGGGCGUAAAGCGUGCGUAGGCGGUUUGAUAAGUCGGUUGUGAAAGCCCCGGGCUCAACCUGGGAAUUGCGGCCGAUACUGUCAGACUAGAAAACGGUAGAGGGAGGCGGAACUCCAGGUGUAGCGGUGAAAUGCGUAGAUAUCUGGAAGAACACCGAUGGCGAAGGCAACCUCCUGGGCCUGUUUUGACGCUGAGGCACGAAAGCGUGGGUAGCAAACAGGAUUAGAUACCCUGGUAGUCC
Molecule: ribosomal RNA, 780 nt
Filed under: uncultured bacterium
Lineage: Bacteria
Description: bacterial SSU rRNA
Rfam family: Bacterial small subunit ribosomal RNA
Source: RNAcentral